AGUGAACGCUGGCGGUAGGCCUAACACAUGCAAGUCGAACGGCAGCACAGUAAGAGCUUGCUCUUACGGGUGGCGAGUGGCGGACGGGUGAGGAAUACAUCGGAAUCUACUUUUUCGUGGGGGAUAACGUAGGGAAACUUACGCUAAUACCGCAUACGACCUACGGGUGAAAGCAGGGGAUCUUCGGACCUUGCGCGAUUGAAUGAGCCGAUGUCGGAUUAGCUAGUUGGCGGGGUAAAGGCCCACCAAGGCGACGAUCCGUAGCUGGUCUGAGAGGAUGAUCAGCCACACUGGAACAGAGACACGGUCCAGACUCCUACGGGAGGCAGCAGCGGGGAAUAUUAGAGGAUGGGCGCAAGCCUGCUCCUGCCAUCCCGCGUGGUUGAAGAAGGCCUUCGGGUUGUAAAGCCCUUUUGUUGGGAAAGAAAAGCAGCAGGUUAAUACCCCGCUGUUCUGACGGUACCCAAAGAAUAAGCACCGGCUAACUUCGUG
This 492-nucleotide ribosomal RNA is filed under the name uncultured bacterium. Its description in RNAcentral is "partial 16S ribosomal RNA". It matches the Rfam family "Bacterial small subunit ribosomal RNA", at positions 29 to 507 of the family's 1533-position model. The record is from RNAcentral.